Molecule: non-coding RNA, 93 nt
Organism: Zea mays
Lineage: Eukaryota; Viridiplantae; Streptophyta; Magnoliopsida; Poales; Poaceae
Source: Rfam
UGAAAGCUAUGACGAGUCUUGAAAAUUAUAUUAGCAUGUCAGACUUGGAAGAUGUUGUGGCAUUAACGAGAAUAUGUUUCAUCUGAGCAAUGA